Molecule: ribosomal RNA, 364 nt
Filed under: uncultured bacterium
Lineage: Bacteria
Description: partial 16S ribosomal RNA
Rfam family: Bacterial small subunit ribosomal RNA
Source: RNAcentral
CCUACGGGAGGCAGCAGUGAGGAAUAUUGGUCAAUGGACGGAACCCUGAACCAGCCAUGCCGCGUGCAGGAAGACGGCUCUAUGAGUUGUAAACUGCUUCUGCACAAGGGUAAUCCUGAAUUCGUGUCUUCAGCUGAAACUACUGUACGAAUAAGGAUCGGCUAACUCCGUGCCAGCAGCCGCGGUAAUAAGGAGGAUCCAAGCGUUAUCCGGAUUUAUUGGGUUUAAAGGGUGCGUAGGCGGAUUGAUAAGUUAGAGGUGAAAUUUCCGGGCUUAACUAGGGAACUGCCUCGAAUACUGUGGAGCUAGAGAGUAGAUGCGGUAGGCGGAAUGUAUAGUGUAGCGGUGAAAUGCGUAGAGAUCA